AGGAUUAUAAUUUAAAAUAAAAUAUUUGAAUUGCAAUCAAAACUUACUUAAAAAAGUUAAUCUUA
This 65-nucleotide transfer RNA is filed under the name Janus sp. RNAcentral's name for it is "tRNA-Ala". Lineage: Eukaryota; Metazoa; Arthropoda; Insecta; Hymenoptera; Cephidae. The record is from RNAcentral.